Molecule: ribosomal RNA, 176 nt
Filed under: Giardia duodenalis
Lineage: Eukaryota; Fornicata; Diplomonadida; Hexamitidae
Description: Giardia intestinalis partial small subunit ribosomal RNA
Source: RNAcentral
GACGCUCUCCCCAAGGACACAAGCCAUGCAUGCCCGCGCACCCGGGAGGCGGCGCUACGGCUCAGGACAACGGUUGCACCCCCCGCGGCGGUCCCUGCUAGCCGGACACCGCUGGCAACCCGGCGCCAAGACGUGCGCGCAAGGGCGGGCGCCCGCGGGCGAGCAGCGUGACGCAG